GAUGAACGCUGGCGGCGUGCCUAAUACAUGCAAGUCGAGCGAACAGACGAGGAGCUUGCUCCUCUGACGUUAGCGGCGGACGGGUGAGUAACACGUGGAUAACCUACCUAUAAGACUGGGAUAACUUCGGGAAACCGGAGCUAAUACCGGAUAAUAUAUUGAACCGCAUGGUUCAAUAGUGAAAGACGGUUUUGCUGUCACUUAUAGAUGGAUCCGCGCCGCAUUAGCUAGUUGGUAAGGUAACGGCUUACCAAGGCGACGAUGCGUAGUCGACCUGAGAGGGUGAUCGGCCACACUGGAACUGAGACACGGUCCAGACUCCUACGGGAGGCAGCAGUAGGGAAUCUUCCGCAAUGGGCGAAAGCCUGACGGAGCAACGCCGCGUGAGUGAUGAAGGUCUUCGGAUCGUAAAACUCUGUUAUUAGGGAAGAACAAAUGUGUAAGUAACUAUGCACGUCUUGACGGUACCUAAUCAGAAAGCCACGGCUAACUACGUG
Molecule: ribosomal RNA, 497 nt
Filed under: uncultured bacterium
Lineage: Bacteria
Description: partial 16S ribosomal RNA
Rfam family: Bacterial small subunit ribosomal RNA
Source: RNAcentral